GAUGAUACCACAUAUUUAGGUAUCGAUCCGAUACAAAGUAGUUACAGGAUCAUACAUUGGUCAUAUUUUAAGUCCUCAUGUGUCCAGGGACGUAGUUCCUGCGUUUAUGAAUAUAAUAUGAAUUUUAAAAGGAAAAAAUAAUUUGUGACGAUAAAAAAUAUCGAUGUAAUCACAGUAGUAUCGACUAGUGGUUAGCGUGUCCGCCCUGAGAUGGGUAGGUUGUGAGUUCAAACCCCGGCCGAGUCAUACCAAAGACUAUAAAAAUGGGAGCCAUUACCUCCCUGCUUGGCACUCAGCAUCAAGGCUUGGAAUUGGGGGUUAAAUCACCAAAAAUGAUUCCCGGGCGCGGCCACCGCUGCUGCCCACUGCUCCCCUCACCUCCCAGGGGGUAAUCAAGGGUGAUGGGUCAAAUGCAGAGAAUAAUUUCGCCACACCUUGUGUGUGUGUGACAAUCAUUGGUACUUUAAAUACACUCUUGUACUUGGUAUCAUUACAGUGGAUGUCAGGUGUAGAUCCACCCAUGGCGUUUGUUUACAUUGUGACGCCGGUGAGCUAUUGUAUCCUCCUACGGUGUGUAGUGAAGCAUGUUUAGCUAUUCCUCGUCCUCCAGUGAUAAUGAUACAUGUAAGAAACUUACUUUAUUUGUCGCCACGGAGGCCAGGAUUAGUGAUUUAGAAGUAGUGGUCAUAGUUUAAGUCCUCAUGUGUCCAGGGACGUAGUUCCUGCGUUUAUGAAUAUAAUAUGAAUUUUAAAAGGAAACAAUUAUUUGUGACAAUAAAAAAUAUCGAUGUAAUCACAGUAGUUUCGACUCAAUACGCUCUUGUACUUGGUAUCAUUACAGUGGAUGUCAGGUGUAGAUCCACCCAUUUGUUUACAUUGUGACGCCGGUGAGCUAUUGUAUCCUCCUGCGGUGUGUAGUGAAGCAUGUUUAGCUAUUCCUCGUCCUGCAGUGAUAAUGAUACUUGUAAAUGCGUCCGUUCUCCCUUUUCUGUCUACACACUGUAUCUGCUUGUAAGUACUCUGUGUGUGUGCGCUGCCGAACAUGCUCGUCUGCUCGUAAAACCAGCAAUGUCGCAACAGGAUGACCCGCCACCAUGCCCGUAAAAAAAUAAAUAUGGCGAACCGGUACUUUUCAAACAGAGUAUAGUACAGUUUUUGAUUCAUUAGUACCGCAAUGCUAUACUAGUACCGUACAACCCUAGUUGUCACGAAUCAAUAUUUACAGUGGCGACUUUGAAAUGGAAGUAAAUAUCGCGCGUAAAUGACUGUUUACUUAUUUGUGGAUACUUUCUGCCCACAUGUGAUCGUCCUUGAUGAGCCUCCCCUGUGCACACCAGCACACCCGCGUCUCUCUGUGUCAGCCAAUCAGCUUCCAGCAUGGCCUCGCCUCCACACCCACCUGAGUCUCAUCCGUCCAGUUCCCCGGUUUUGAAGAUCCAGGCAACUGACCUCUUCAACUGUUUCCAGUCAGAGAAAUAAGUGAUCAGUUGUGUCCUCCGCUGGAAUCCCAAACUCCAAGAUAUCAGCUGGCCACUCUUGCUCUGGUUUCUUCAGAAACUCAGGGCCUUCUCUCCAUCCUUUGUGAGUCAGUAACUCAUCCACUUUAACUCCUCUGUACUCUGCGCCACUAUCAAAUACCACACGCAGAGUUCCUUUUUUGGGGUGGCACACCCCAUGGUGGGAAAUGUACCCCACCUUCCCAUCUGAACGGUCCACUUGCUCUUCAGGGACACGCUCUGCAUAACCUUUACUGAUUACAUCAUUGAGAAAGGUAGUAUAUUCUCUGUGAAAUCUUUCAUCUUUCCCAAACCUCCUUUUCAGACCAAGUAUGCGUUGCCUAGCAACACACUGAUUGUUGGACAGAGACACAUCAUCCUUCCUUUUAAAGGGCAGUUCCAAAGUGUAGUGUCCAUCUUGAAGCUUGCAUGAAUCAGUCAUGACCUUCAUGUCAUCUCUACACAUUUCUUCUUUGUCUUCUGAUGACCUGUCGUUAAAAUCAUGGUUAUAUUGAUUGUGCAGCAGCUCCACCAGCUUUGUUAUGGAGAUCCUGUUGACAGUAGUUGUGGAGCAGCCAAUCUUCCUCCUCUUCUCACUGUAGUCAGGAAGGCCAUUAAUGACCCACCCUAAUAGGGUC
Entelurus aequoreus (snake pipefish) is the source of this 2134-nucleotide long non-coding RNA. RefSeq lists it as uncharacterized. Lineage: Eukaryota; Metazoa; Chordata; Actinopteri; Syngnathiformes; Syngnathidae. The record is from RefSeq and is a predicted model, not a curated record. The transcript is spliced from 3 exons.